This 72-nucleotide transfer RNA is filed under the name Pangasianodon gigas (Mekong giant catfish). RNAcentral's name for it is "tRNA-Glu". The record is from RNAcentral. Lineage: Eukaryota; Metazoa; Chordata; Actinopteri; Siluriformes; Pangasiidae.
UCCCUGGAGGAUUAGUGGUUAGGCCUUGGCGCUCUCCCCACUGAGGCCCGGGUUUGAUUCCUGGCCAGGGGC